RNAcentral lists this long non-coding RNA (413 nucleotides) under Monodelphis domestica (gray short-tailed opossum). Its description in RNAcentral is "lncRNA (ENSMODG00000031501.2)". The record is from RNAcentral. Lineage: Eukaryota; Metazoa; Chordata; Mammalia; Didelphimorphia; Didelphidae.
CAGAUCUUCUUGACUCCAGGCCCAGCACUCCAUCUACGGCUCCACAAGUUGCUUCCAAGGCAAGUUAAAUCACUACCAAGACCUUAAUUACAAUUUCCCUAUUGAUCCCAAUUGGAACAGCCCAGUACCCUGAACCAAAGGGCUAUUUGAAGAGUAAAUUGACCUCUGCUAUUAUCCUAUGGAAAUGUAACCUGGAAACUACUUCUGCACUAGCCAAAGCCACAGAUACUGAAGACCCAAAAAGCCCCUGGUAGUCUGGUUUCUGAUUCUACCUCUUCUCUGGGACUGGUUUGGAAUUGGAAUGUAUGUUAGAGAUCUUCAAGAUUAAUCCUUUUAUUUUAGAGGUCCUCUAUAAUUUGGAUCCAACAUGGAUGAUUUUACAUAAGAAGAUGUGCAGAGAGCAACUAUCCUGA